GUCCUGCUAGGUGUCGUGUCCUGCUAGGUGUCGUGUCCUGCUUGGUGUCGUGUCCUGCUUGGUGUCGUGUCCUGCUUGGGGCCGUGUCCUGCUAGGUAUCGUGUCCUGCUUGGUGCCGUGUCCUGCUAGGUGUCGUGUCCUGCUAGGUGUCGUGUCCUGCUUGGUGUCGUGUCCUGCUAGGUGUCGUGUCCUGCUUGUGUCCUGCUUGGUGUCGUGUCCUGCUAGGUGUCGUGUCCUGCUAGGCGUCGUGUCCUGCUAGGUGUCGUGUCCUGCUAGGCGUCGUGUCCUGCUAGGUGUCCUGCUAGGUGUCGUGUCCUGCUAGGUGUCGUGUCCUGCUAGGCGUCGUGUCCUGCUAGGCGUCGUGUCCUGCUAGGUGUCGUGUCCUGCUUGGUGUCGUGUCCUGCUAGGCGUCGUGUCCUGCUAGGUGUCGUGUCCUGCUAGGCGUCGUGUCCUGCUAGGCGUCGUGUCCUGCUAGGCGUCGUGUCCUGCUAGGCGUCGUGUCCUGCUAGGCGUC
Molecule: long non-coding RNA, 514 nt
Organism: Oncorhynchus tshawytscha (Chinook salmon)
Lineage: Eukaryota; Metazoa; Chordata; Actinopteri; Salmoniformes; Salmonidae
Source: Ensembl